GGGUGAGUAAUGUAUCGGAACGUACCUUUCAGUGGGGGAUAACGUAGCGAAAGUUACGCUAAUACCGCAUAUUCUGUGAGCAGGGAAGCAGGGGAUCGCAAGACCUUGCGCUGAUUGAGCGGCCGAUAUCAGAUUAGCUAGUUGGUGAGGUAAAGGCUCACCAAGGCGACGAUCUGUAGCGGGUCUGAGAGGAUGAUCCGCCACACUGGAACUGAGACACGGUCCAGACUCCUACGGGAGGCAGCAGUGGGGAAUUUUGGACAAUGGGGGCAACCCUGAUCCAGCCAUGCCGCGUGAGUAAAGAAGGCCUUCGGGUUGUAAAGCUCUUUCGGCCGGGAAGAAAUCGCAUGGGUUAAUACCCUGUGCGGAUGACGGUACCGGCAUAAGAAGCACCGGCUAACUACGUGCCAGCAGCCGCGGUAAUACGUAGGGUGCGAGCGUUAAUCGGAAUUACUGGGCGUAAAGCGUGCGCAGGCGGUUUUGUAAGACAGGCGUGAAAUCCCCGGGCUCAACCUGGGAGCUGCGCUUGUGACUGCAAGGCUAGAGUAUGGCAGAGGGGGGUGGAAUUCCACGUGUAGCAGUGAAAUGCGUAGAGAUGUGGAGGAACACCAAUGGCGAAGGCAGCCCCCUGGGCCAAUACUGACGCUCAUGCACGAAAGCGUGGGUAGCAAACAGGAUUAGAUACCCUGGUAGUCCACGCCCUAAACGAUGUCAACUAGGUGUUGGGUGGGUAAAACCAUUUAGUACCGGAGCUAACGCGUGAAGUUGACCGCCUGGGGAGUACGGCCGCAAGGUUAAAACUCAAAGGAAUUGACGGGGACCCGCACAAGCGUGGAUGAUGUGGAUUAAUUCGAUGCAACGCGAAAAACCUUACCUACCCUUGACAUGUCCAGGAGCCUGAAGAGAUUUGGGUGUGCCCGAAAGGGAACUGGAACACAGGUGCUGCAUGGCUGUCGUCAGCUCGUGUCGUGAGAUGUUGGGUUAAGUCCCGCAACGAGCGCAACCCUUGUCGUUAAUUGCCAUCAUUUAGUUGGGCACUUUAACGAGACUGCCGGUGACAAACCGGAGGAAGGUGGGGAUGACGUCAAGUCCUCAUGGCCCUUAUGGGUAGGGCUUCACACGUCAUACAAUGGUCGGUACAAAGGGUUGCCAACCCGCGAGGGGGAGCCAAUCCCAGAAAGCCGAUCGUAGUCCGGAUUGCAGGCUGCAACUCGCCUGCAUGAAGUCGGAAUCGCUAGUAAUCGUGGAUCAGCAUGUCACGGUGAAUACGUUCCCGGGUCUUGUACACACCGCCCGUCACCAUGGGAGCGGGUUCCGCCAGAAGUAGGUAGCCUAACCGCAAGGGGGGCGCUUACCACGGCGGGGUUCGUGACUGGGGUGAAGUCGUAACAAGGUA
Molecule: ribosomal RNA, 1396 nt
Filed under: metagenome
Description: bacterial SSU rRNA
Rfam family: Bacterial small subunit ribosomal RNA
Source: RNAcentral